This is a long non-coding RNA of Triticum aestivum (bread wheat), 281 nucleotides long. RefSeq lists it as uncharacterized. The transcript has 3 exons. NCBI's taxonomy places the organism in Eukaryota, Viridiplantae, Streptophyta, Magnoliopsida, Poales, Poaceae. The record is from RefSeq and is a predicted model, not a curated record.
GUUUUCCGACAAUUUUGCUAUCCUGUUAUUCCACUAUGAUGGCCAUGUGACCGAAUGGGACGAAUUUGAGUGCUCAAAGCGAGCCAUCCAUAUCAGUGUCAGCAAACAAACUAAAUGGUGGUAUGCCAAAAGAUUCUUGCAUCCUGAUAUUGUGGCAGCUUAUGAGUACAUAUUCAUCUGGGAUGAAGACCUUGGGGUGGAUCAUUUCAACGCACAGGAGCACAUCAAACUUUGUUAACAAAGAUGGUCUAAUUAUCUCCUAGCCUGGCUUAGAACCUGAC